CGGCGGACGGGUGAGUAACGCGUGGGUAACCUGCCUCAUACAGGGGGAUAACAGUUAGAAAUGACUGCUAAUACCGCAUAAGACCACGGUACCGCAUGGUACAGUGGUAAAAACUCCGGUGGUAUGAGAUGGACCCGCGUCUGAUUAGGUAGUUGGUGGGGUAACGGCCUGCCAAGCCGACGAUCAGUAGCCGACCUGAGAGGGUGACCGGCCACAUUGGGACUGAGACACGGCCCAG
This 238-nucleotide ribosomal RNA is filed under the name uncultured bacterium. Its description in RNAcentral is "partial 16S ribosomal RNA". It matches the Rfam family "Bacterial small subunit ribosomal RNA", at positions 96 to 334 of the family's 1533-position model. The record is from RNAcentral.